Molecule: ribosomal RNA, 446 nt
Filed under: Amphistomus complanatus
Lineage: Eukaryota; Metazoa; Arthropoda; Insecta; Coleoptera; Scarabaeidae
Description: partial 16S ribosomal RNA
Source: RNAcentral
CAUGUCUUUUUGAUAAUAAUUUAAAGUCUGGCCUGCCCUAUGAAUUUAAUGUUUAAAUGGCCGCGGUAUUUUGACCGUGCAAAGGUAGCAUAAUAAUUAGUUUUUUAAUUGGGAACUGGUAUGAAUGGUCGAACGAGAAAAAAACUGUCUCAAUUUAAUUUAAAUUAGAAUUUUAUUUUUAAGUAAGAAAGCUUAAAUAAUUUUAAAAGACGAGAAGACCCUAUAGAGUUUUAUAUAGAUUAUAUAUAUUUGAAAAUUGAAGUAUUUUUAAUUUGAUUAUUAAAAUUUAAUAUUUAAUUGGGGUGAUUUAAAAAUUAAUUAAACUUUUUUUAUAUAUUUACACUGAUUUGUGGGUAAGUGAUCCAUAGUUUAUGAUUAUAAGAUUAAAUUACCUUAGGGAUAACAGCGUAAUUUUUUUUGAGAGUUCUUAUCGAAAAAAAAGUUUG